This 82-nucleotide transfer RNA is filed under the name Candidatus Omnitrophota bacterium. RNAcentral describes it as "tRNA-Leu". It matches the Rfam family "tRNA". From Rfam's summary of the family: Transfer RNA (tRNA) molecules are approximately 80 nucleotides in length. Their secondary structure includes four short double-helical elements and three loops (D, anti-codon, and T loops). The record is from RNAcentral. Lineage: Bacteria; Pseudomonadati; Candidatus Omnitrophota.
GGGCGAGUGGCGAAAUUGGUAGACGCGCAUGCCUUAGGAGCAUGUGAGGAGACUCAUGGAGGUUCAAGUCCUCUCUCGCCCA